RNAcentral lists this ribosomal RNA (232 nucleotides) under uncultured bacterium. Its description in RNAcentral is "partial 16S ribosomal RNA". It matches the Rfam family "Bacterial small subunit ribosomal RNA", at positions 99 to 334 of the family's 1533-position model. The record is from RNAcentral.
CGGACGGGUGAGUAAUGUCUGGGGAACUGCCCGAUGGAGGGGGAUAACUACUGGAAACGGUAGCUAAUACCGCAUAACGUCGCAAGACCAAAGAGGGGGACCUUCGGGCCUCUUGCCAUCGGAUGUGCCCAGAUGGGAUUAGCUAGUAGGUGGGGUAACGGCUCACCUAGGCGACGAUCCCUAGCUGGUCUGAGAGGAUGACCAGCCACACUGGAACUGAGACACGGUCCAG